Mangifera indica (mango) is the source of this 1766-nucleotide RNA transcript. It is a transcript of the gene named protein EXPORTIN 1A-like, with no coding region annotated. Lineage: Eukaryota; Viridiplantae; Streptophyta; Magnoliopsida; Sapindales; Anacardiaceae. The transcript has 6 exons. The record is from RefSeq and is a predicted model, not a curated record.
CUUAGGUUCUCGCAAAAGCACAAAAUGCAGUUAGGACUCACUAAGUUGCUUGGCUUUGCUUUUUGAAAAUUGGCAAACCAUAGUUUCAUAUUUGAGUUUUGGAAUCCACUCAAGAGAAUAUCAAUGCAUUGCUUAUGGGUCCUGAAUAUCUAAUUAAUAUCUCAUUUGUGGAUGACACAGAGGUACUUAAGAUUCCUUUAAUCCCAGCUGUGGUUGAUGGUAUUGGAACACAACUAAUGCAGCGAAGGCAGCUUUAUGCUGUUCCAAUGUCCAAGUUGAGAAUGCUGAUGAUCUGUUGUAUGGCUAAUCCUGAAGAAGGCUUGACAGUUGAAGAUGAAAAUGGGAACAUUGUCCGUGAAACCAUAAAGGGCAAUGAUAGUCUUGUUCAAUAUAAGUCUUGCAGACUAUGAGGGAGAGGUUAAUAUACUUGUCGCACCUUGACCAUCCAUGAGGAUACUGAAAAGCAAAAAAAAAGGGCAAAAGGAGAAGGAAAAUUCAGUGGCAAAUGACAGGACAGGUGGCAAAUCCUCAGGGAGCAGGACCACAAACAUAAGGAAGUGCACACGUCUUAUUUGGAGAGGAAUUUGAUACAGACCUGGAGUUAUCAAGCAGCAAGACCAUUAUAUCCAAGUUCAACGCCAGAAUACACCCAGCUGCAGUCACCAAUCUUUCCUCCUCAAGCAACAAUCAGAUAUAACAGUGCAGAAAAUAGAAUAGAUAAAUAUUGAGAUUGUGUCACAGAAGUUUGCGAUGUAAUUAAUGGAAAUAGACAGAUUUUUGUAUCGAGCAAUUUUUCUGAAUAUAAUACAAAUAAAGUUUACUGAAACUCUACUAGCUUUCCUUUUUACAUGAACAUCAAGAGCAAACUGAAAACAAGAAAUUGACACUCAAGGUCUAAUCCAUCUUCCUCCAGCUUUCAAGAGGCUGCUUCUCUCCCACUUUGUCUUUUCCUUUCAAAUUCUUCUCUGCCUUUGCUUUCUCCACCUCCAGGCCUAUAUCACUCUCAUUCCCUGCAUAACUGCCUUGUCAAUCCAGCCUUGCCACACCAUCAAUCGUGCAUAUACUAAUGGUCCCCUGCUUCUGUUGUGAUAUUGCUGCUGCUUCUUCAUUGUGUGCUUGUUGAUCUGCUACCUUUUCCUCAGCCUGCUGCUUGCCAUCUGUUUCUUGUAAUCUGGCACUUUUGCUCCUUUCCUCUUUUUCUUCCUUAUGUACUAACAGAGUUAAAGGCUGGAGGGAAAUAAGGAGCCGAAAAGGCAAGGAGAGGGGUACCUGGAAAGUUGACAGAAGUUGAGAGAAUCGAAGGAGAGUGCUGGCCUCUCGAAUGCCAAGCAAACCCCAUGAUUUUGUUGUUGGUUCUUUGUGUUUGGAACAUUACACCAGCUGGAUUUUGGUUGUCUGGAACCUUUUGUAAUUUUGUUUCAAUGUAUUAAGAUUGCUUUAUUCAGAUAUCAAUAAAAACGUUGUUCCAGAAUUUAUAUUGCACUGUUAUGUUGUUGUUGUUGUUGAAUUGUGUGGGUUUUGUGUGGAAAAGGGGAGUUUGAGUUGCAGGAAGCAGCCUAGAAAGUGAAGAGAGCAUGAGGCAGUGGUGUUGAAUAUCCAGGUACCUAUCAGAUUCAAGCUGAGCAUGAUACCCAGAAGAGGGACGAAUACUUGCCGAGGUUGAUGGCUCUUCCAACCUAGAAAUGGGCUGAAAUUCUAGCACAGGCACACCAAAGCGUUGAUUUUCUGAAAGAUCUAGAUGUCAUAAGGACUGUGCUAAAUAUUUU